UGGCGAACGGGUGAGUAAUACAUCGGAACGUGCCCAAUCGUGGGGGAUAACGUAGCGAAAGCUACGCUAAUACCGCAUACGAUCUACGGAUGAAAGCGGGGGAUCGCAAGACCUCGCGCGAGUGGAGCGGCCGAUGGCAGAUUAGGUAGUUGGUGAGGUAAAGGCUCACCAAGCCGACGAUCUGUAGCUGGUCUGAGAGGACGACCAGCCACACUGGGACUGAGACACGGCCCAGACUCCUACGGGAGGCAGCAGUGGGGAAUUUUGGACAAUGGGCGCAAGCCUGAUCCAGCAAUGCCGCGUGCAGGAUGAAGGCCUUCGGGUUGUAAACUGCUUUUGUACGGAACGAAACGGUGAGCUCUAAUACAGUUUGCUAAUGACGGUACCGUAAGAAUAAGCACCGGCUAACUACGUGCCAGCAGCCGCGGUAAUACGUAGGGUGCGAGCGUUAAUCGGAAUUACUGGGCGUAAAGCGUGCGCAGGCGGUUAUGUAAGACAGAUGUGAAAUCCCCGGGCUCAACCUGGGAACUGCAUUUGUGACUGCAUAGCUAGAGUACGGUAGGGGGGGAUGGAAUUCCGCGUGUA
RNAcentral lists this ribosomal RNA (585 nucleotides) under uncultured bacterium. RNAcentral's name for it is "bacterial SSU rRNA". It matches the Rfam family "Bacterial small subunit ribosomal RNA", at positions 96 to 677 of the family's 1533-position model. The record is from RNAcentral.